GCGCCCGUAGAUAAGUUGGCAUAGCGGUGGUGAGACGGUACCCCACGGUCCCGGGUUCAAGUCCCGGCGGUCGCU
Molecule: non-coding RNA, 75 nt
Organism: Phthorimaea operculella (potato tuberworm)
Lineage: Eukaryota; Metazoa; Arthropoda; Insecta; Lepidoptera; Gelechiidae
Source: the annotation of a GenBank genome assembly